GCUAUAUAUAGCUAGCUAGCUCGCUCGCUAGCGCUCGGUGCACCGGCACGGCAAGCAAGAAGAGGAGCAGCAGCAGGGGAGAGGAGAGGAUAGCACGGCACGAGACUAGGAGAGAGGCAGGCGACACCGCGACAGACAUGGGAGGAGAGGAGAGGAUAGCACGGCACGAGACUAGGAGAGAGGCAGGCGACACCGCGACAGACAUGGGAGGAGAGGAGUGGAGCGCGGAGGAGCGCAAUGAUGCGUGUCUAGACGGGAGGGGGAAGGGUGAUGAUGGCUCGGAGGCGGGGCGG
This 293-nucleotide long non-coding RNA is filed under the name Setaria italica (foxtail millet). Its description in RNAcentral is "long non-coding RNA (SITA_LNC004122)". The record is from RNAcentral. Lineage: Eukaryota; Viridiplantae; Streptophyta; Magnoliopsida; Poales; Poaceae.